Molecule: small RNA, 30 nt
Filed under: Bombyx mori (domestic silkworm)
Lineage: Eukaryota; Metazoa; Arthropoda; Insecta; Lepidoptera; Bombycidae
Description: ovarian small RNA-17070
Source: RNAcentral
GCUCAUGACAGCAGGACGGUGGCCAUGGAA